ACGGACGGGCCUUUGGUGAUCAUAGUACUUUUCGAAUCGCAUGAACUUUACGUCGGCGAUGGUUCAUUCAAAUUUCUGCCCUAUCAAGUUUCGAUGGUAGGAUAGAGGCCUACCAUGCUUUUGACGGGUAACGGCGGAAUUAGGGUUCGAUUCCGGAGAGGGAGCCUGAGAAACGGCUACCACAUCUAAGGAAGGCAGCAGGCGCGCAAAUUACCCAAUCCUGAUUCAGGGAGGUAGUGACAAUAAAUAACAAUCCAGGACUUUCGGUCUUGGAAUUGGAAAUGAGAACAAUUUAAAUCUCUUAUCGAGGAACAAUUGGAGGGCAAGUCUGGUGCCAGCAGCCGCGGUAAUUCCAGCUCCAAUAGCGUAUAUUAAAGUUGUUUGCAGUUAAAAAGCUCGUAGUUGAAUUUUAGGCCCGGUUGGAUGGUCUGCUCUAGGGUUUGUACUGUCCUGACUGGGUCUUCCCUUCUGGUGAGCUGUCGUGUCGUUUAUUCGAUGCGGAGGGAACCAGGACUAUUACUUUGAAAAAAUUAGAGUGUUUAAAGCAGGCAUUCGUUGAAUACAUUAGCAUGGAAUAAUAAAAUAGGACUUUGGUUCUAUUUGUGGUCUAGGACCGAAGUAAUGAUUAAUAGGGAUAGUUGGGGGGCAUUAGUAUUUAAUUUGUCCAGA
RNAcentral lists this ribosomal RNA (669 nucleotides) under uncultured fungus. RNAcentral's name for it is "bacterial SSU rRNA". It matches the Rfam family "Eukaryotic small subunit ribosomal RNA", at positions 233 to 911 of the family's 1831-position model. The record is from RNAcentral. Lineage: Eukaryota; Fungi.